AAGGCUUUAAGUUAAAAAUAAACUAAUAGCCUUCAAAGCUAUAAAUAUAAGAAAUUCUUUUAAGCCUUA
RNAcentral lists this transfer RNA (69 nucleotides) under Liriomyza bryoniae (tomato leaf miner). RNAcentral's name for it is "tRNA-Trp". It matches the Rfam family "tRNA". From Rfam's summary of the family: Transfer RNA (tRNA) molecules are approximately 80 nucleotides in length. Their secondary structure includes four short double-helical elements and three loops (D, anti-codon, and T loops). Lineage: Eukaryota; Metazoa; Arthropoda; Insecta; Diptera; Agromyzidae. The record is from RNAcentral.